AUUUUAACAACUGAAACAAACCAUCCAAAGAUUAUCAGGACAAGCCUAUUAUAAAUAUAUAGAACCCUAGAAGAUAACGAGGACAUCGGUUCCCAAACAAAAAAAUAUUCUGGACCUAUAUCAAACACAAAAAAGUAAUAAAAAUGGAGUAGUACCACUUAGAAGAAAUGGGAAAUUAAAAACUGAUCCAAUUAACAAAGC
Molecule: long non-coding RNA, 201 nt
Filed under: Mytilus galloprovincialis (Mediterranean mussel)
Lineage: Eukaryota; Metazoa; Mollusca; Bivalvia; Mytilida; Mytilidae
Source: RNAcentral